Molecule: long non-coding RNA, 2055 nt
Organism: Acinonyx jubatus (cheetah)
Lineage: Eukaryota; Metazoa; Chordata; Mammalia; Carnivora; Felidae
Exons: 3
Source: RefSeq, a predicted model, not a curated record
GAGAGAGAGAGAGAAAACGAUUUCAUUUAUUCAACAAAUAUUGAAUACCGAUACAGAAUCACAGACUAUGAAGGAUCCCUGAUGAAAGGGUAUAAGAAGCCUAAAUUCAGUGCCCGACCGGCCCUUCCGGAGACAAUUCCAACACAACACGCAAGAGCAGCAGUGUUGUAGGGGGAACUCCGAGGAACAGGAGGGGGUCAAGUUCAGGCAAGAAUCCCAGAGGCUUUCCCGAGGUGCUAACAGGACGGUGUACCCCGAAGACAGGCAGGAGCGGCUGCGGACAGAAGAGGCGUGCUUGCAGGACUGGGGUAUCUGGGAAACCCAACAGCUCGACGAUGCUGGUUUCAUUUUUUUUUAAAUUUUUUUUUUUAACGUUUAUUUAUUUUUGGGACAGAGAGAGACAGAGCAUGAACGGGGGAGGGGCAGAGAGAGAGGGAGACACAGAAUCGGAAGCAGGCUCCAGGCUCUGAGCCAUCAGCCCAAAGCCUGAUGCAGGGCUCGAACCCACGGACGUGAGAUCGUGACCUGAGCCGAAGUCGGACGCCCAACUGACUGAGCCACCCAGGUGCCCCAAUGCUGGUUUCAAUCAACCUUCGUGGAAGACGCUGGAAGGAGGUGCCCGGGAGAAACCUCUUGCAAAGGUGAUCUUUUGCUCCUAGUCUCAAACGUCAAGAGAUUGGACUGUACGCACAGGCCAUCCUUUGAAGCUAGCACCUUCUCCCACCCCGCGAGAACCCAUACACCCUACAUGUGGGGCGCGCAGGUGCCUCUGGCCCCGGUCAGGAAAUGAUGACACGAAGGGGUGCGGGUUGUUUCCUGAUGUCUUCACCUGCCCCCCCCCCCCCUCAAAAGUUGUCCACGCUGGAGCUUCUCAAACAGCUUCUUAAAUCUGGCUGGUCUGUGACAUGAAAAAGGGCAAAGGGAGGGGGAGCCUGACCAUUGCCGUAGGUCAUAUGACACGCCACACAAUCCUCUUGCUGCUCUGAUUAGUCACCCUGCUCCAAGCACUUCGUCACACUGUAUGUCAUUUUUGCUUCCGCCAGGAACGUUCUUUCACUGUUACUAACUGGACAAAAACUCAUCUUGAGGAAGCCUCUCCUGAAUAACCUCAACAUUCUUGUAUUUAUCAUCUUUGCACUUGUUAUCUGCCGCCUUAGGCAACAGGACACGUGAUAACAUUUUUUGACAGUUGAUGAAGUAUGUACUGUCUAUUCCUGUGUUCCUGCGUCUUCUAGAAUUUUCUAAGGAGCUACGCUCAAACCGCACAGGAAAAAACUCCUAGGAUCUCGCUAAAACAUCUUUGAAAAUGCCUGCCACAUUUGUGAUUCAGUGAGUGAGAACACCGUGCUCACCAGUCGGAGCUCUGCGCUCAAGCCUGGCUUAGACAUGCUCCCUAACAGGGCAGGAACUCACUUCUUAACCUUUGCUACUUGUUUCAAAAACUCUCAAACUUGUCAAGGGGGCCUAGGUGACGGUCUAAAGCUGCAUCAGCACAAAUCUGUCUGAUCUACUGGAAAAACAACUCAAAGUACAAGUUUUGCCAUUUCAAAAGUUCUAUUUGGCCAAAUAAUUUUAAGUAUGUUGGAAGAGUUAAAUAUUUAAAGAACUAUUUCUGUGUAACCAGGAUUUCCAGGCUCUGGGCAUAUUUUUGGAGUAACAGUCAAUGGCAGGGAAGCCCCAACAAUUCAACAGGCUAUUUGCACAAUCCCUUGGAAGUAGCCAGACUGUGGAGUCAAAUUUAAAUUAUUCGUGGUCACAGGAAGCAAAGACUACACCAACCAAAGUGCACAGAGAAUUCGAGAAUGUUAUUUUAGCAAUUUCAACGUUUUGAGAGCAAAUCUUUUGUGCCUGUUCCCUAAUUUAGGUGCUAACAGUUACAGUUGAGGUCCUAGUAAGGCAAGUAACCUGGGAAGGAAGAAAAACCCCAAAUAUCCCAACAUCAACCGCUGGGUAGUUGACAUUUAGCUUUACGGAAGCUAAUUCUGUUCUUAAUUAAUAUCGCCCUCUUCAAAGCAUAUCCAGCCUUAAUUCCAUGAAACAAACAAACAAACCAAC